Molecule: ribosomal RNA, 329 nt
Filed under: uncultured eukaryote
Lineage: Eukaryota
Description: partial 18S ribosomal RNA
Rfam family: Eukaryotic small subunit ribosomal RNA
Source: RNAcentral
CCCUUAGAUGUUCUGGGCCGCACGCGCGCUACAAUGAUGAAUUCAACGAGUUUAUAACCUUGGUUGAAAAGCCUGGGUAAUCUUUUGAACUUUCGUCGUGAUGGGGCUAGACCCUUGCAAUUAUUGGUCUCCAACGAGGAAUUCCUAGUAAACGCAAGUCAUCAGCUUGCAUUGAUUACAUCCCUGCCCUUUGUACACACCGCCCGUCGCACCUACCGAUUGAAUGGUCCGGUGAAAUCUUCGGAUUGAGACUUUGUUUUCUUCACGGAAAACGCUGUUUUAAAAAGUUGAUUAAACCUUACCAUUUAGAGGAAGGUGAANUCGUAACA